Molecule: ribosomal RNA, 911 nt
Filed under: Hypochnicium sp. GEL4741
Lineage: Eukaryota; Fungi; Basidiomycota; Agaricomycetes; Polyporales
Description: eukaryotic LSU rRNA
Rfam family: Eukaryotic large subunit ribosomal RNA
Source: RNAcentral
AAACUAACAAGGAUUCCCCUAGUAACUGCGAGUGAAGCGGGAAAAGCUCAAAUUUAAAAUCUGGCGGUCUUGGCCGUCCGAAUGGUAGUCUGGAGAAGCGCUUUCCGUGUUGGACCGUGUAAAAGUCUCUUGGAAUAGAGCGUCAUAGAGGGUGAGAAUCCCGUCUUUGACACGGACAACCAGUGCUUUGUGAUGCGCUCUCAAAGAGUCGAGUUGUUUGGGAAUGCAGCUCAAAAUGGGUGGUAAAUUCCAUCUAAAGCUAAAUAUUGGCGAGAGACCGAUAGCGAACAAGUACCGUGAGGGAAAGAUGAAAAGCACUUUGGAAAGAGAGUUAAACAGUACGUGAAAUUGCUGAAAGGGAAACGCUUGAAGUCAGUCGCGUCGUCCAGAACUCAGCCUGGCUUUUGCUUGGUGCAUUUUCUGGUUGACGGGCCAGCAUCAAUUUUGAUUGUUGGAUAAAGGCUUUGGGAAUGUGGCAUCUUCGGAUGUGUUAUAGCCCUUGGUUGCAUACAACAGUCGGGAUUGAGGAUCUCAGCAUGCCUUUAUGGUCGGGGUUCGCCCACGUUCAUGCUUAGGAUGCUGGCGUAAUGGCUUUAAACGACCCGUCUUGAAACACGGACCAAGGAGUCUAACAUGCCUGCGAGUGUUUGGGUGGAAAACCCGAGCGCGUAACGAAAGUGAAAGUUGGGAUCUCUGUCAUGGGGAGCACCGACGCCCAGACCAGACCUUCUGUGACGGAUCUGCGGUAGAGCAUGUAUGUUGGGACCCGAAAGAUGGUGAACUAUGCCUGAAUAGGGUGAAGCCAGAGGAAACUCUGGUGGAGGCUCGUAGCGAUUCUGACGUGCAAAUCGAUCGUCAAAUUUGGGUAUAGGGGCGAAAGACUAAUCGAACCAUGCAGUAGCGGUUCUNNN